ACCUCCGCCUCGGCCGUCAGAGUCAGCGUCUCCCGGGUGAGCUCGGCGGACACUCGGAUCCAGCGGUCCCGGAGCAGAAGGUCCAGUUGGCCGUUUUUGUCCGCUCGGGUCCAGACCGCCAUUCCCCUCCCGCGAUCAUCUGACCUGUGACCUCUGACCUUUGACCUGCUGGCUGAAACAUGCAGGAGAGAAAGGUUCCACGUGGGAUCAUCAGGAUAAAUCUACAGUUCAACAAAAACUGAACAUUACAGGAUGAUUUGUUUUCAUGAUACAGUCGUGUUCAGAUGAAAAGAUGAAUAUCUCAAGUUAGUGACAGAAAACCUUUUCCACGAUAACCUAAUCUGGAGCGUUUCCUGUCCAGCAGCCACCUGAACAGUUUCCUUCAUUUGUCUUGUUCCAGGGUUUUCUACAAAAUAAGAGAAACGCUUUGAAUUCACCUCAUGGAGGAAAUAAAAAAAAAAACAUUUAUAAAGUGAAAGAUUAAAACCUUCCAUUUGUUCAUGAGGAGCCAGAAGUGACGAGUUAAACUCACAGACGCAGAAGAGCUCGUGUUUGUUGUUGGGUUUUAUUGCAGUCGAGGUUUUUCUAGUGUUUACAACAAAAAAAAACAGAGCAGAUUACAACAGCUGAGAGAGAGAGAGAGAGACAGAGAGAGAGCGAAAGAGAGAGAGAGACAGAGACAGAGAGAGAGAGAGAGUUCCAUCAGUCAAUCAGUCAACCAGCCGCUCUACAUUCACAGUGUCGUCACCAUCCAACCUCAGCCGCUCGUUCCCGGGACUUUUGAAAGCAGCAGGCGCUCGUUGGAUAAAUCCCUUUUUAAGGAUGAUUUUAAAAUAAAAGUUAAUAU
This is a long non-coding RNA of Platichthys flesus (European flounder), 847 nucleotides long. RefSeq lists it as uncharacterized. Lineage: Eukaryota; Metazoa; Chordata; Actinopteri; Pleuronectiformes; Pleuronectidae. The transcript has 2 exons. The record is from RefSeq and is a predicted model, not a curated record.